This 160-nucleotide small nuclear RNA is filed under the name Echinops telfairi (small Madagascar hedgehog). RNAcentral's name for it is "U1 spliceosomal RNA (ENSETEG00000021599.1)". It matches the Rfam family "U1 spliceosomal RNA". Rfam says of the family: U1 is a small nuclear RNA (snRNA) component of the spliceosome (involved in pre-mRNA splicing). The record is from RNAcentral. Lineage: Eukaryota; Metazoa; Chordata; Mammalia; Afrosoricida; Tenrecidae.
AUGCUUACCAGGCAGGGGAGAUACCAUGAUCACAAAGGUGGUUUUCCCAGGGCGAGGCUUAUCCAUUCACACCAGAUGUGCUGACCCCUGCGAUUUCCCCAAAUGUGGGGAACUCGACUGCAUAAUUUAUGGCAGCAGGGGAUGCAUCUGCACUCUCCCC